ACGCGUGGAACCUUACCAGGUCUUGACAUCCUCUGACACUCCUAGAGAUAGGACGUUCCCCUUCGGGGGACAGAGUGACAGGUGGUGCAUGGUUGUCGUCAGCUCGUGUCGUGAGAUGUUGGGUUAAGUCCCGCAACGAGCGCAACCCUUGAUCUUAGUUGCCAGCAUUAAGUUGGGCACUCUAAGGUGACUGCCGGUGACAAACCGGAGGAAGGUGGGGAUGACGUCAAAUCAUCAUGCCCCUUAUGACCUGGGCUACACACGUGCUACAAUGGAUGGUACAAAGGGCAGCAAAACCGCGAGGUCGAGCCAAUCCCAUAAAACCAUUCUCAGUUCGGAUUGUAGGCUGCAACUCGCCUGCAUGAAGCUGGAAUCGCUAGUAAUCGCGGAUCAGCAUGCCGCGGUGAAUACGUUCCCGGGCCUUGCACUCACCGCCCGU
Molecule: ribosomal RNA, 439 nt
Filed under: uncultured bacterium
Lineage: Bacteria
Description: bacterial SSU rRNA
Rfam family: Bacterial small subunit ribosomal RNA
Source: RNAcentral